UAACUUAGUGGCGGACGGGUGAGUAACGCGUGAGUAACCUGCCUUUCAGAGGGGGAUAACGUCCUGAAAAGGACGCUAAUACCGCAUGAUAUAUUUGUGCCGCAUGGUAUGGAUAUCAAAGGAGCAAUCCGCUGGAAGAUGGACUCGCGUCCGAUUAGCUAGUUGGAGGGGUAACGGCCCACCAAGGCGACGAUCGGUAGCCGGACUGAGAGGUUGAACGGCCACAUUGGGACUGAGACACGGCCCAGACUCCUACGGGAGGCAGCAGUGGGGGAUAUUGCGCAAUGGGGGAAACCCUGACGCAGCAACGCCGCGUGAAGGAAGAAGGUUUUCGGAUUGUAAACUUCUUUUCUAAGGGACGAAGAAGUGACGGUACCUUAGGAAUAAGCUCCGGCUAACUACGUGCCAGCAGCCGCGGUAAUACGUAGGGAGCAAGCGUUGUCCGGAUUUACUGGGUGUAAAGGGUGCGUAGGCGGCAAUGCAAGUCAGAUGUGAAAUGCACGGGCUCAACCCGUGAGCUGCAUUUGAAACUGUGUUGCUUGAGUGAGGUAGAGGCAGGCGGAAUUCCCGGUGUAGCGGUGAAAUGCGUAGAGAUCGGGAGGAGCACCAGUGGCGAAGGCGGCC
Molecule: ribosomal RNA, 624 nt
Filed under: uncultured Lachnospiraceae bacterium
Lineage: Bacteria; Bacillati; Bacillota; Clostridia; Lachnospirales; Lachnospiraceae
Description: bacterial SSU rRNA
Rfam family: Bacterial small subunit ribosomal RNA
Source: RNAcentral